This 310-nucleotide ribosomal RNA is filed under the name uncultured eukaryote. RNAcentral's name for it is "partial 18S ribosomal RNA". It matches the Rfam family "Eukaryotic small subunit ribosomal RNA", at positions 1470 to 1796 of the family's 1831-position model. The record is from RNAcentral.
CCCUUAGAUGUUCUGGGCCGCACGCGUGCUACACUGAGCGGGUCAACGGGUGAGGAUGUGCGAAAGCAUUUCCCAAUCUCGAAAUCCGGUCGUGAUGGGGAUAGACUUUUGCAAUUUUUGGUCUUCAACGAGGAAUUCCUAGUAAACGCAAGUCAUCAACUUGCAUUGAUUACGUCCCUGCCCUUUGUACACACCGCCCGUCGCACCUACCGAUUGAAUGGUCCGGUGAAGCCUCCGGAUUGGCGCGCACCUCGGUGCCGCCGAGAAGUUGGCUAAACCUUACCAUUUAGAGGAAGGUGAAGUCGUANCA